Molecule: ribosomal RNA, 300 nt
Filed under: Polyangium sp. y55x31
Lineage: Bacteria; Pseudomonadati; Myxococcota; Polyangiales; Polyangiaceae
Description: partial 23S ribosomal RNA
Rfam family: Bacterial large subunit ribosomal RNA
Source: RNAcentral
GGUCAAGCUACGAAGGGCGCACGGUGGAUGCCUAGGCGAUCAGAGGCGAAGAAGGACGUGGACAGCUGCGAAAAGCUCCGGGGAACCGCUAACAGGUUGUGAUCCGGAGGUCUCCGAAUGGGGAAACCCGAGCAGGGAUUACCUGCCAGCCCGUGGUGAAUACAUAGCCACGUGGCAGCCAAGCCAGGGAACUGAAACAUCUAAGUACCUGGACGAAAGGAAAGCAAAAGCGACUCCCCCAGUAGUGGCGAGCGAACGGGGAAGAGCCUAAACCCAAGCAGUGCAAGCAUGCUGGCGUUG